Molecule: ribosomal RNA, 253 nt
Filed under: uncultured bacterium
Lineage: Bacteria
Description: partial 16S ribosomal RNA
Rfam family: Bacterial small subunit ribosomal RNA
Source: RNAcentral
UACGUAGGGGGCAAGCGUUGUCCGGAAUCAUUGGGCGUAAAGCGCGUGUAGGCGGCUCGGUAAGUCUGCUGUGAAAGUCCAGGGCUCAACCCUGGAAUGCCGGUGGAAACUGUCGGGCUGGAGUCCGGAAGAGGCGAGUGGAAUUCCUGGUGUAGCGGUGAAAUGCGCAGAUAUCAGGAGGAACACCAAUGGCGAAGGCAGCUCGCUGGGACGGUACUGACGCUGAGACGCGAAAGCGUGGGGAGCAAACAGG